GACUCCUAGUUGAAUGCAGGUGGCCAUGCCUAGGCCAUUUUUGGCCCUGGAAGAGCAAACUCCUGGGAAGGGGGCCCUCAGCCCCACCAUGGGCCAUGAGCCCACUUUCCGUGGCUCCUGGAUGGGUGAGGCCACUGCUCUUCAGCUGGCUUCCCAUUUCCCAUCCCUUCUCCUCAUCUCUCCAACUCCUCUCUGGCAGAGAGGCUUGUCCUGAAACCCUCACUGGGCCAUUUUCCUGCUCAGAACCCUUGUCUACACCCCCUGUCCCACGGUGCCAGGUCCAAACUCCUGGACCCAGCUGUGGAGGUCUCUUGGCACGUCUGACCAUUCUCCGUCUGUCCAGCCCCAAGUGCCCUGCUCUUCUGACACAGGCCAGUGCAGGUCAGCCUCACCUGUCCCCACCAUUCCCGCCAGCGCCUUUGGUGAGGGGUCACGUGGCUCCUAGCUCGGGUCCAGGCCACCUGCCUCCGGACGUCACUCUGCCGCCGCCAGUUUUGGCUGUCCAACUUGGUCUGAAUGAUAUGAGAGAAGAUAGCAUUGCCCCCAAUCACACACUGAGGUGUCCUGGGCAGACACAUCUUCAUCUGUCCCGCCAAGCCUUCCAGUCCACAACUCAGCACCCCGACGUUCGGGCCCCGACUCUGUGGGAGACAUUGGCUGUUACCACACUUGCGGGCUCCCAGCUUCGCUUCUGACAAGAUGCAUUCCCUCAGCGCCUGCUUCAGAAAUCACAGCUUAUGGUGGGCCUCUUGUUUCAGCCGCAAGCAACCGUGAGGCCAGAGCAAUGCCAGGAAAGGGGCGGAUCCUCCAGGACUGUAAAUCUUCUCUUCCUACCAUAAUGUGAAAAGUAUCACCCUGCUUCAAAGAUUGGAGAGCUAUAAACUGUCCAUGUUUUAUAGAGAAAAGGAAUGUCCAUAAAUCCAAUGUUUGUAGGGAAAAUCGGAAAUUUGGUUUUGCACUGAAUUGGAUAAUCAAUGGGAACUGACCUGGAUCAUAGUUGUCAAAGCUAGGCCGUGGAGAAUUGGAAAUAAGAUGAACAAAUGGAGAGACAAGCUCAAUAAUUCUGGAAUUUGCCAUGGAAAAGGAAUUUGGCUAUAAGUGGCUGUUCAUCGUUCACAUCCAACUCGAGGAGAGAGAGGUGCUGAAAUCCAUCUUGGGGGGAAAAUGGGAGGCAGGUCUGAAAUUCAAAGACCUGGAACCUCCCCUUUGCAAGGGAGAUUUGAGCUCCCUCAUUCUCCCCGAAGAGCAAGUGGGCUGACCCAGGUGCUAUGAAACUCUAUCAUAUUAAAGAGACACCCAGUCACCAGAGUUGCCACAAAUCAAAUGUAAAAAAUGGCAGCAUCUUUACUCUUCUUGAUGCCAGUGCUCAUCUCUGAAUCACUGAACACACAUAGACCCUCGAAGCCAGAAAGCCAGACUGGGUCUGAAGAGAUCAUCUUGUCCUCGGCGACCCAGUGGAUGCACCCCGUCCUUCAGAAGUCCCCUCUGGGGCACCUGGAUGGCUCAGUCGUUAAGCGUCUGCCUUCGGCUCAGGUCAUGAUCCCAGGGUCCUGGGAUCGAGUCCCACAUCGGGCUCCCUGCUCCGCGGGAAGCCUGCUUCUCCCUCUCCCACUCCCCCUGCUUGUGUUCCUGCUCUCGCUGUCUCUCUGUCAAAUAAAUAAAUAAAUAAAUAAAUCUUUAAUAGAAGUCCCC
Molecule: long non-coding RNA, 1692 nt
Organism: Mirounga angustirostris (Northern elephant seal)
Lineage: Eukaryota; Metazoa; Chordata; Mammalia; Carnivora; Phocidae
Exons: 6
Source: RefSeq, a predicted model, not a curated record